Molecule: ribosomal RNA, 552 nt
Filed under: uncultured Bacillus sp.
Lineage: Bacteria; Bacillati; Bacillota; Bacilli; Caryophanales; Bacillaceae
Description: bacterial SSU rRNA
Rfam family: Bacterial small subunit ribosomal RNA
Source: RNAcentral
AGUAGGGAAUCUUCCACAAUGGACGAAAGUCUGAUGGAGCAACGCCGCGUGAGUGAAGAAGGAUUUCGGUUCGUAAAACUCUGUUGCAAGGGAAGAACAAGUAGCGUAGUAACUGGCGCUACCUUGACGGUACCUUGUUAGAAAGCCACGGCUAACUACGUGCCAGCAGCCGCGGUAAUACGUAGGUGGCAAGCGUUGUCCGGAAUUAUUGGGCGUAAAGCGCGCGCAGGUGGUUCCUUAAGUCUGAUGUGAAAGCCCCCGGCUCAACCGGGGAGGGUCAUUGGAAACUGGGGAACUUGAGUGCAGAAGAGGAUAGUGGAAUUCCAAGUGUAGCGGUGAAAUGCGUAGAGAUUUGGAGGAACACCAGUGGCGAAGGCGACUGUCUGGUCUGUAACUGACACUGAGGCGCGAAAGCGUGGGGAGCAAACAGGAUUAGAUACCCUGGUAGUCCACGCCGUAAACGAUGAGUGCUAAGUGUUGGGGGGUUUCCGCCCCUCAGUGCUGCAGCUAACGCAUUAAGCACUCCGCCUGGGGAGUACGGUCGCAAGACUG